RNAcentral lists this ribosomal RNA (247 nucleotides) under uncultured bacterium. Its description in RNAcentral is "partial 16S ribosomal RNA". It matches the Rfam family "Bacterial small subunit ribosomal RNA", at positions 521 to 767 of the family's 1533-position model. The record is from RNAcentral.
UAAGACGGAGGGGGCUAGCGUUGUUCGGAAUUACUGGGCGUAAAGCGUGCGUAGGCGGCCAUUCAAGUUGGGUGUGAAAGCCCGGGGCUCAACCCCGGAAAUGCGCCCAAGACUGUUUGGCUAGAGUCCGGGAGAGGUGAGUGGAACUCCGAGUGUAGAGGUGAAAUUCGUAGAUAUUCGGAAGAACACCAGUGGCGAAGGCGGCUCACUGGACCGGUACUGACGCUGAGGCACGAAAGCGUGGGGA